Long non-coding RNA from Spodoptera frugiperda (fall armyworm), 7256 nucleotides. RefSeq lists it as uncharacterized. The transcript is spliced from 2 exons. Lineage: Eukaryota; Metazoa; Arthropoda; Insecta; Lepidoptera; Noctuidae. The record is from RefSeq and is a predicted model, not a curated record.
GAUUGACGAAGUUUUUGAUACUGACGGAAUAAGAAAUUAAGUUUACGAUUGGUUUUUGGAACUUUCAUGUUUAUGAUUUUAAGUAGGAGAACAUUUCUCCUGGCGAGAUUUGGGGCUGAAUUUCAGUUUAAAUUAUAUGGGGGACGGAUUGCUGAAGACGGUGUAAUUUAAGAUAAUUUAUGUUUACAAGUUGUUUUUAAAAUCUUAUUUAUAUUUAAGAAAAAAUUUACCUAGGGAACGUCACGUUUAAGAAUUUUAUGAUUUACUACUUCUUUUUUUGAAGAUUGGCUGAUUAUUUAUGAUUGACGGAAAAAUAACAAUAUUUCUAAGAAUACAGUUUUAUAUAACAUAAUAGUUAACCUCUUUUUUUAAACUUAUUUCAGUUUGAAAUUUAUUGUAUUUUAUAAAUAUAUUUUUACCUCUUUUUUGAAAAGUUGACGGGUUUUUAAGACUGACGGAAUAAUGAAAGAUAAUUUUAUUUUACGAUUGGUUUUCAAAUAUUGAUUAUGUUUCUUAGGAUAAAUAUGAACGUUGGACUGAAUUUUAAUUUGCAAGACGAAGACGGCCGGACAAGAACGGAUUUUUUCGUAUCAUAUUUGAAUAUUUUUUCACAAAACUUGUAUUGAAAAAAAUAUUAAGUUGCAUUUAAAAACUGACGGAGUUUUCGAAACUGACGGGAGUUAUUAAAAGUUACCUCUUUUUUUGAAAAGGUAUAUGGAUUUUUUAGGCUGACGUAAUAAUGAAAAACUGAUUAAGUUUAUAGAUCUUGAUUUAUGAUUUUUAGUAGGAGAAAAAUCAAUGUAAGGCUUAAUUUCAUUUUGGAUUUUGUAUCAAAGGAUGUUUUUGACGAACGAAAUAUUGACGAAAUAAUUAAAAAUAUUUUUUGCAAAUAAGGACUUUCUUUACGGUUUUUCGUUGGUAAAUGAUUGACUUGAUUUACCUCUUUUUUGUAAAGAUUGGCGAAGUUUUUAUAACUGACAGAAUAAAUAGAAAAUACAAAUUAUUUUUCGAUCUUUAUUUAUGAUUUUUCGUUGGAAAAAUGAACAUAGGGAUGAAUUUCAGAAAUCAAAGAUUCGUAUUUUGCGAGGUUUUUUGUCAAAUUGUUAUUUUUAUUCUUCUUAUGAUUAUAUCGACAUGACUUAUUCUCUUAUAAUUCGUAUAAUAAAAUGUUAGGAAAGAGCCCAUGGAUCGUUCAGGGUUACUUAUUUAUUUACGUUUUCUUAAGAGGAACAAUAGAAUAUAAGAUGACGGUUAUUUUAAUAUUAAACUUACUUAAGAUACUGCAAAUACUGUGUGAAUAAAAUAUUUUCUUCACUUAGAUAAUUUAUUUAGGCGAAGAAACUUUAUUCACUUAUAAAUAGCUACAUACCUACGUAUGUUUCUAUUAAAGCCGCAACACAAGAGCCACAUAUUAUGUCGACUCAAUUCUGACGUCUUCUUUCUUCAUAUUAUAUUCUUUAUAUUGCAAAAGGAUUUUUUAACAUAUUUCAAAGUAUUUUUUUAAGAAUUUACGAACGUUAAUACAUUUUAUUUCUUGAUUUUGACUGGUAUGAGGUAUUUUUAUCUUGACAACACCAUCAGAGUUGUUAAAGUUACUUUCCAAGAUUAACUUGUUGAAUAUCUCAUCUAUAUUAAUAAGAUAUUUUUUACAUAAUAUAUCGUAUGUUGUGUGAUAGUUAUGUUAUUUUUCGAUUCAUAAUAAUGAAAGAGACAUAAAACAAGUGAAAUUAUAUUACAGAGCGGUGGAGCCAAGAUGCGCAACAAAACUUUACGCUGUUUAGUUUUAAAGAUAAUAUUUCAGACGGAACACGUAUUAUCUUGAUGAUUUGUAAAACAUACAUAUUUGUUUGUUUAAUACUUUAUUAUUUAAUGGAAAAGAGCCCGUGAAUUAUACAGGGUUGCUCUACUAUUUUUAUUGGUAAUUGGAAGGCGUUCUUACUUAUUUACUUUUACUUAUAGUUUAAACAGUUAUUAUGCGUUAGAAUUUUAAGUUAUCACAGCGAUGUUUAAAUAUAAGAUACAGAUUUUUCUACACCGUUGACGUGCAAAUAAAAAGCGUUCAUAUACGAUUAUCAACGUACCAUUAAGUAAAAAAUUAUUAAUACCUAUGUAUAAUAUUAUACAUAUUAUACACAUAUAACGACUAAUCUAUACAUUUAUUUGAAUAUUUAUAUAACGAUUAUUUUAAUAAGUUUACAUAAUUUAAGAAGGUCACAUAAUGUCUGGUAAAAUAUAAAACACCGAAUAGGGUCGGCGUUAUGUUUAUUUUUUUAUUUAUUUUUUUACUUUUUUUUUGUUAGGUAGGCACUGAAACCACAUCAAAUAGGUAGGACGUAAGAAUAGCAAUUAGGUGCGAUAGGUAAAAUAUGUCAAAUGAAAUUAUUUAAACUUAGGUAGGUAGGUAGGUAUAGGUACUAUUUUUAGGUAAUAGGUAGGUUUCGUUGCGUACCUAAGUUAGGUCAAAAAACGUCAGGUCGUGCCUACUUUAUUUUUAGUUUUAGUAAUAUACCUAGCAUAGCAUUAUAUUAAUUAUUAGUUUGUUAAUUCGGAUUAAUUUUAGAUAUAGUUUCGAUUUAAGUGACAUUUUUAAGGUAUUUUAUUUAUUAUUAUUUCUGCUCAUGUUACUUAGGGCCUACAUAUAAUACGUAUAAUUUGAAUCGAAAAGGUAUUCUCCAAUAUAACCAAAGAAAAUUUACUAUUCUCCAUAUUAUAACACCGAUUUCCGAUAUAAAUUAUAUUCAAUGAAUAUUUAAAAGUAUAUAAAUGAAAUAACUUAUAAAUUAAAUUAUCAGGGGAUUCGUUUAUUGAAAUAACUUAAUAGUAAUGUAAUUAUAACUUCUCAUGUCAAAAUACCGACGUUUAUUUUGACUGUAGGCUUUUAUUAUUAUUAUUUGACUCAAAAAAUAUUUGACAAAUUUUAAAUUAUCUAUCUCAAAAACAAAAUCGAAAGUAAUACAAAAAUUAUUAAAAAUUGUACGCCAUAUACUUUUAUUUAAACAGUUUUACAAAUAUCUUAUUUGAAAUUAUUGGAUUCGGCAACGUUCGGCAAAGAAAUAUUUGUCAAUUUAUAUAAAAAACAAUAAAUAGAAGAACUAUUAGUAUAACAUAAUUACGUUUUAGAAGGCUAUACACAAUAUUUGGAACUACAGUUUUGACAAAAUACAAUAUAAAGAAAGACGGAAUAGCUGACAAUCAUUGUAAAAACAAAAAACAAAAUGAUUAAUAAAUAUAGCAUAAAGUUUUAGAAUGCCAUAUCCAAUCUUUGGAAUCUCUGAAAUUAAAAAAAGAUCCUUUCUUUUCUAAUAUUGGAUUUAAAAUGACAAAAACAUGACUAUAUUGUUCUAUCACCAAAAUCCGUCCUAUGGAAUGAUUGAAUUUGGUAAAAUCCAUUAUGCUCAAAUGGUUAAAUUUGGAAAAUUGAGUUAGGAAAAAUUCAAUAACUAUAAUUUCUAAAAAUAGAAAAUACCAUACAUUGGAUUAAUUAAAAAUAAAUUGAACAAUAUAGAAAAACGAAUUGUAUUAAUAGAAUUUGACAAGAUAAAGCAAUUUUUUAUAGGUUUUAUAAUGAUUUUAUUUCACGUAAAGACUAUACGUAUCGUCAAUGACUACAUUUAUAAUCAUUCACGGAUUUUUUAUACACUCUAAUUUUACUUACAUAGUAAACACACAAUUACAUUUAGAUGAACGCACACAUAGAUAAAAUAUCGUGGUAGAAUAGGCACUAUAUCCUAAUCAUUUUCCUAAAAGCACAUUUAAAUUAUUUAAUUCAUAUUAAAAAGUAAAAAGUUCAACGUUGCCAAAUAUUUUACGUUAACGCAAUCUGAUCAGCAUGAAAUAUUCACGUUACUUGAAUUUUCUAAUUAUUUAUUUGAUUUUUAAUGAAUUGAAAUUAGUUUUUCUAUGUGCUUCGAAAUAAUUGUCCACCUGUAGCAUGUCAAAAAGUGAUCUUCGUUUAUUUUUUAAUUUGAAUUUUGGAACGUCGGUUUCUUUUUUGUCUAUGUCCAAUUUGGCGCGAAACGUUUUGUUUUUAUUUAUUUUGCUUCAUGGGCGCGAUGUGAUAUUAUUAUUAAUGUACUAUUUUAACAGCUGUACAUAUUCCUCUAAAAAGUACGCUUAUCGUUACUAAUUAAUAUACAUAAUUAAAUAUUUUGUAUUUUUAAAGAUUUAUUGUUCUUAAUAUGCAUUGGGAUUUGUGUCUCCACGCUUGAAAUACAUUCAGAAUACACAACACAAUUUUAGCGGGACCGGUUUAGAUACACCGUUUUUUUACAUAAUUAUAUAUUUUACACUGCUCGAUGAUAUCUAGUAAUAUUUUUAAAAUACUCUUAUGUAAUAUAUAUUUUUUCUUUAAUAUUAUUUCAGGAGCUAAACUAAACUGUUCACGUAUUUAAUGCCAUCGCUUUUCCUGCAGACCCCGUAAGGUUCCGUCGUUUCCAACAUGGCCGCCUGUCCCAUCUACAAAACUAUAAACACAUAGUUUCAUCAAUUAAUCAACUCGUUUUCGUGGACGACCCAGGAUGGACCCUAGUUAUUCACCAGUAUUAAUAACACCUCCGUAAUUUAGAACAAAAUAAUUAAAUUCAAGAUGUUUUAUUAUUAUGUUGGCGGCGUCAGGCAGGCUUAUUACCAACGGAUCGUAGGCAGCGAUGUUAGUUUCAAAAGUCUAAGAACAAAACUUGGCAGCAGUUAACUCAUGAGGCGAAUAUGAGAUUUAUCUAUCUAGGUAAACUAGGUAUAACUUUAUAUAUAUUCACUAGCUAUAUCUAUCUUUGUAAUUCAAAUGUUUCUGAAACUGAUUUAACUAUAAUGUAUUAGGACAUGUAAGUCGUUCAAUGUUUAAAGUUUACAAAAGUUGAUUACGUUGUCUAUUAUUUGAGUGAGGGGUCAGAAUAUAUUUAUAAACAUAGUUUAUUCUCAUAGUUUUUAUGUAUUACAUUCACAUCACUAAGUUUUAUUUAGUACAUGAAUUAGAGAUGUAAGUUGCGAACGGAGUUCCAAUGUAACUAGAUCUUAUAGAGUACCUAACGUGUAGUUUUGAGAGUGAGCACAAUAAACCGGGCGAUGACUUAGAUUAUUUUAUGAUUAGGAUAUGUUAUUAAUAUUUAUCACAUUCAGUGUUUGACAUCUUACAAUAUGCUAGAGUUAAAUCGUUAUAGGACUAAGGUAGCGUAGGUAUUAUGUACGACAUAUGUACAGUCUAGUAUAGUUAAGAUAUACCCAGAAUACGAUAGCAUUAAGUAGACGACUCAUACAAUAAGCUUAUGUUAGUUCCACUAGGUAGGUAGGAUGGUAGCCCCUGGGUUUUAGGGUUUAAACAGGCCGUAGAUUCAGGAUGUCCGUAUCUAGACUCCAUAAAACGAAUCUGGAAGAAGCCUAAUUUGUUGGCAGGCUUAGAUUCAAACUACUAAACUCUCAGGCGAGGCUUUUCCUGCUAUACUUAGGUUGUAGGAUAACAGCUAAAUAAGGUUCACAUAUUGAUAAACUCUAGAAGUAUUACUUAGACGUAGAAUUUUGGCUGCUAAAUACUGUAUUUUUUUGCAAUUUUAACAUUAAGUAAAUAGUAUUACAGUCUAGUUUUUAGGAUAUUAGUGUUAGCAAAGUCAUUCGCUUCGGAUUUCAUGCCCUUGAUUGCGAUUCUCUACCAAAUACUCGAAGGAACUCGAAUAUUAUUCUUAUUUGAAAAUCAAACACUUAAUCAAUAAUUUAUGUACGUUUUUUUAAUGAAGUAAUUAUAUUUUUGUACUAGAAUUGAUCAUAUUCAUAUGAUAGUAUUGUCUCGAUUGUUUUAUCUGUCCCCGAACGAAUUCUUAAUUUUAUUUACAAAAGAAAAUGUUUUUUAUAAAAUAAUAUAUUUUACAAUUUUUGAAAAAUACAAUUCUUUGACGUUCUGUAAAUCGUUGUAAAAGUGAUUAUAAUAAAUCAUUAGUAAUCAAAGUCUCAAUUUUGUUUCCCUUUGUGUAAAUACUUGAUUUUUCCUAAGACUAUAAGAAUUUCUACUUGAACAGAAUAUUUUAACUUUUUUAACAACAUUGACUUUUAUUAUUUCUACUUCUUAUUUAAUGACAAAUGAUUUUUUAUGCAAAUUGUUUUACUUUAACAUAAUUUAUUCCGCUUGAAUAAGAAUUGCUUCGACUUGACUUUUUAUAUUGGAAUUAUUUAUAAACUAGCAAUAGAUACCAUUGCUAUUUCUAGUCAAUAGAAUUUAGACUUUAUCUACUUACUAAUACAAUUCGACUUGACUUGAUAACUAUUCCUAGAUCCUAUUGACAUUCUACCAAUAGAUACUGCAUCGUUUGCAGUUACUCUAUGAAUGAAGUUACCAACAAAAGCUUUUAGUUUUCGCUAUAAUUGAGAUAUUAUUAGAUAUAAAUUAUCUAUAAUAUUUUAGUUUAUAGAUUAAUAUUAAGAAAUCGUCGCUAAACGAAUUAAAUUUAUUUAAGUGGACGAGAUGAAUUAGCUAGGCUAGGUAUUAGAUGCUUAGUCGAAAGCUAUAGUAGUCAGGUAGGCCUAAAAUGUCUUAUUUUUGGCGAUUAUCAGUCUCGUUCUUCUAGAUAUGGUUUAGGUUAUAUUUUAUUUUCGAAAUUUCAAUACCUUAUCUUACCGUAUUUGAAGAUCUCCCCUGAAUAGUUUUUACUUUCCUGGUAAAAUUACCAUGGACUAAAUCGUAACUUGUUAGCUAGAAAAUUCUCGAGAAUUUUACUAACUAUUCAACACAAGGAUUCUUCAAUAUUUAUAACUUAUUUUCAAAAUCUUCUAUUGAAAGAUGCCAGGUCCACUAUUUUUCACAAGUGCCUUAUUUCCUGUCGAUUUUGGGGUUUACAAAUUUUGUUUUAUUAUUUUUUUUUCUUCAAAUGACUGACUUACAAGACCGUAGAGGACAUACUCCCCUCCCUUUAAAGGCUUUCUAUACCCACUUAAUCCUAUUCCGUCACAAUAUUUUUUUAAUUAAUUUUUUUAAGUGCAUAGGUAGGGUAUCUCAAACAAAGUCCCAUUCGAAGCCCUCUUUUUUGAAUUUGCUAUUAUUAAUUAUCUGUGGGGUACUUAAAAUGUAUGGGGUUUUAAGUUUUUCAUGUAAAACGUAGCUCCCCGAUAGGUUGACUUAGGUAAACGACUGUCUUUCCAUUAAAAAAAAACAAAUCUACUGAGUUUCUUGCCGGUUCUUCUCAGUCGAUUGUAGGUUCCGAACCGGUGGUAGAGUAAAAAAAUAAAUAAAUGUACAAAAAUGAUAAAUAAAUAAAUGAAUUUUAUUAAACCUA